Lutra lutra (Eurasian river otter) is the source of this 108-nucleotide small nuclear RNA. Lineage: Eukaryota; Metazoa; Chordata; Mammalia; Carnivora; Mustelidae. The record is from RefSeq and is a predicted model, not a curated record.
UUUGGCAGCAUGUAUGCUAAAAAAAAAAAAAAAAAGGGAAAUAUACAGAGAUUAGCACAGCCCCUGCACAAGGAUGGUACGCAAAAUCCUGAAGUGUUCUGUACAACA